Molecule: ribosomal RNA, 490 nt
Filed under: uncultured bacterium
Lineage: Bacteria
Description: partial 16S ribosomal RNA
Rfam family: Bacterial small subunit ribosomal RNA
Source: RNAcentral
AUUGAACGCUGGCGGCAGGCCUAACACAUGCAAGUCGAACGGUAACAGGAAACAGCUUGCUGUUUCGCUGACGAGUGGCGGACGGGUGAGUAAUGUCUGGGAAACUGCCUGAUGGAGGGGGAUAACUACUGGAAACGGUAGCUAAUACCGCAUAACGUCGCAAGACCAAAGAGGGGGACCUUCGGGCCUCUUGCCAUCGGAUGCGCCCAGAUGGGAUUAGCUAGUAGGUGGGGUAACGGCUCACCUAGGCGACGAUCCCUAGCUGGUCUGAGAGGAUGACCAGCCACACUGGAACUGAGACACGGUCCAGACUCCUACGGGAGGCAGCAGUGGGGAAUAUUGCACAAUGGGCGCAAGCCUGAUGCAGCAAUGCCGCGUGUAUGAAGAAGGCCUUCGGGUUGUAAAGUACUUUCAGCGGGGAGGAAGGGAGUAAAGUUAAUACCUUUGCUCAUUGACGUUACCCGCAGAAGAAGCACCGGCUAACUCCGUG